UGGGGAAUAUUGCACAAUGGGCGCAAGCCUGAUGCAGCCAUGCCGCGUGUGUGAAGAAGGCCUUCGGGUUGUAAAGCACUUUCAGCGGGGAGGAAGGCGAUAAGGUUAAUAACCUUGUCGAUUGACGUCACCCGCAGAAGAAGCACCGGCUAACUCCGUGCCAGCAGCCGCGGUAAUACGGAGGGUGCAAGCGUUAAUCGGAAUUACUGGGCGUAAAGCGCACGCAGGCGGUUUGUUAAGUCAGAUGUGAAAUCCCCGGGCUCAACCUGGGAACUGCAUCUGAUACUGGCAAGCUUGAGUCUCGUAGAGGGGGGUAGAAUUCCAGGUGUAGCGGUGAAAUGCGUAGAGAUCUGGAGGAAUACCGGUGGCGAAGGCGGCCCCCUGGACGAAGACUGACGCUCAGGUGCGAAAGCGUGGGGAGCAAACAGG
Molecule: ribosomal RNA, 429 nt
Filed under: Chloroflexota bacterium
Lineage: Bacteria; Bacillati; Chloroflexota
Description: Chloroflexi bacterium partial 16S ribosomal RNA
Rfam family: Bacterial small subunit ribosomal RNA
Source: RNAcentral